CAUCCAGACUCCUACGGGAGGCAGCAGUGAGGAAUAUUGGUCAAUGGGCGCGAGCCUGAACCAGCCAAGUCGCGUGAGGGAUGACGGCCCUACGGGUUGUAAACCUCUUUUGUCGGGGAGCAAAUUCCGUUACGUGUAACGGAGUCGAGAGUACCCGAAGAAAAAGCAUCGGCUAACUCCGUGCCAGCAGCCGCGGUAAUACGUAGGGUGCAAGCGUUAUCCGGAUUUAUUGGGCGUAAAGGGCUCGUAGGCGGUUCGUCGCGUCCGGUGUGAAAGUCCAUCGCUUAACGGUGGAUCCGCGCCGGGUACGGGCGGGCUUGAGUGCGGUAGGGGAGACUGGAAUUCCCGGUGUAACGGUGGAAUGUGUAGAUAUCGGGAAGAACACCAAUGGCGAAGGCAGGUCUCUGGGCCGUUACUGACGCUGAGGAGCGAAAGCGUGGGGAGCGAACAGGAUUAGAUACCCUUGUA
RNAcentral lists this ribosomal RNA (468 nucleotides) under uncultured bacterium. RNAcentral's name for it is "bacterial SSU rRNA". It matches the Rfam family "Bacterial small subunit ribosomal RNA", at positions 328 to 792 of the family's 1533-position model. The record is from RNAcentral.